GACGAACGCUGGCGGCGUGCUUAACACAUGCAAGUCGAACGGAAAGGCCCUGCUUUUGUGGGGUGCUCGAGUGGCGAACGGGUGAGUAACACGUGAGUAACCUGCCCUUGACUUUGGGACAACUUCAGGAAACUGGGGCUAAUACCGGAUAGGAGCUCCUGCUGCAUGGUGGGGGUUGGAAAGUUUCGGCGGUUGGGGAUGGACCCGCGGCUUAUCAGCUUGUUGGUGGGGUAGUGGCUUACCAAGGCUUUGACGGGUAGCCGGCCUGAGAGGGUGACCGGCCACAUUGGGACUGAGAUACGGCCCAGACUCCUACGGGAGGCAGCAGUGGGGAAUAUUGCACAAUGGGCGGAAGCCUGAUGCAGCAACGCCGCGUGCGGGAUGACGGCCUUCGGGUUGUAAACCGCUUUCGCCUGUGACGAAGCGUGAGUGACGGUAAUGGGUAAAGAAGCACCGGCUAACUACGUGCCAGCAGCCGCGGUGAUACGUAGGGCGCGAGCGUUGUCCGGAUUUAUUGGGCGUAAAGGGCUCGUAGGUGGUUGAUCGCGUCGGAAGUGUAAUCUUGGGGCUUAACCCUGAGCGUGCUUUCGAUACGGGUUGACUUGAGGAAGGUAGGGGAGAAUGGAAUUCCUGGUGGAGCGGUGGAAUGCGCAGAUAUCAGGAGGAACACCAGUGGCGAAGGCGGUUCUCUGGGCCUUUCCUGACGCUGAGGAGCGAAAGCGUGGGGAGCGAACAGGCUUAGAUACCCUGGUAGUCCACGCUGUAAACGGUGGGUACUAGGUGUGGGGUCCAUUCCACGGGUUCCGUGCCGUAGCUAACGCUUUAAGUACCCCGCCUGGGGAGUACGGCCGCAAGGCUAAAACUCAAAGGAAUUGACGGGGCCCCGCACAAGCGGCGGAGCAUGCGGAUUAAUUCGAUGCAACGCGUAGAACCUUACCUGGGUUUGACAUGGAUCGGGAGUGCUCAGAGAUGGGUGUGCCUCUUUUGGGGUCGGUUCACAGGUGGUGCAUGGCUGUCGUCAGCUCGUGUCGUGAGAUGUUGGGUUAAGUCCCGCAACGAGCGCAACCCUUGUUCACUGUUGCCAGCACGUUAUGGUGGGGACUCAGUGGAGACCGCCGGGGUCAACUCGGAGGAAGGUGGGGAUGACGUCAAGUCAUCAUGCCCCUUAUGUCCAGGGCUUCACGCAUGCUACAAUGGCUGGUACAGAGAGUGGCGAGCCUGUGAGGGUGAGCGAAUCUCGGAAAGCCGGUCUCGGUUCGGAUUGGGGUCUGCAACUCGACCUCAUGAAGUCGGAGUCGCUAGUAAUCGCAGAUCAGCAACGCUGCGGUGAAUACGUUCCCGGGGCU
Molecule: ribosomal RNA, 1346 nt
Filed under: uncultured bacterium
Lineage: Bacteria
Description: partial 16S ribosomal RNA
Rfam family: Bacterial small subunit ribosomal RNA
Source: RNAcentral